UGGGGAAUAUUGCACAAUGGGCGCAAGCCUGAUGCAGCCAUGCCGCGUGUGUGAAGAAGGCCUUCGGGUUGUAAAGCACUUUCAGCGAGGAGGAAGGUGGUGAGCUUAAUACGCUCAUCAAUUGACGUUACUCGCGGAAGAAGCACCGGCUAACUCCGUGCCAGCAGCCGCGGUAAUACGGAGGGUGCAAGCGUUAAUCGGAAUUACUGGGCGUAAAGCGCACGCAGGCGGUUUGUUAAGUCAGAUGUGAAAUCCCCGGGCUCAACCUGGGAACUGCAUUUGAAACUGGCAAGCUAGAGUCUCGUAGAGGGGGGUAGAAUUCCAGGUGUAGCGGUGAAAUGCGUAGAGAUCUGGAGGAAUACCGGUGGCGAAGGCGGCCCCCUGGACGAAGACUGACGCUCAGGUGCGAAAGCGUGGGGCAGCAAACAGGAUUAGAUACCCUGGUAGUCCACGCUGUAAACGAUGUCGAUUUGGAGGUUGUGCCCUUGAGGCGUGGCUUCCGGAGCUAACGCGUUAAAUCGACCGCCUGGGGAGUACGGCC
Molecule: ribosomal RNA, 541 nt
Filed under: uncultured bacterium
Lineage: Bacteria
Description: partial 16S ribosomal RNA
Rfam family: Bacterial small subunit ribosomal RNA
Source: RNAcentral